AUUGUCUUCUACAGUAGAGCGGGACAUUUGAUUUACUCUCAGCGGAAUUGACCGGAGAAGGCAUCAGUUCAUGCACUGCACUGGCCCGCACCACGAUUAGUAUAAGGCACAUUUCACGAAGCAGAACGCAGUCUUCAGAGAUAUCCACGUGAACGCUGUGAUACGUCUGACCUUCAGUCCGAAGAAGAAACCCAGACCAGUCUUAAAAGAAAGCACAAACCAAAUCCCCUGUACACAUAUACGGACUCAGAGGAUGAGCAGCCUACAAAAAAACGGUUUCCCCAGGCCCCUCGAGUGAAAAUACCAGCCCUCAUCACUCCGCAGUCUGCCCCCCAGCCCACUGAUAGCAACCAUCAUAAUGCCCCACCCAGCUUCCUGCACCUUUCGCCACUCCGGCACAAACCGAAACAGCUUUGCGAUCUCGCCAGCAUGCAGAGUCUGAUGUCUUCCCUAUAGAUGGUAUGCUUUUAAAAAAGCUUUAAAGCUGCAUCACAAUGUCAUUGUACUCUUAUCUUCAAAACACCAGUUUAUACUCCUGAAUGUCAUCUUGUUGUGAUUUUUUUUUCUGUAGAUUCCAGAGACUCUGUGAGGCCACUAUUACAAGGCAAGUUUGAAAAUCUUGGAAUUUCACAGUUUACAUGGUAUAACAAAUAU
Long non-coding RNA from Pelmatolapia mariae (spotted tilapia), 654 nucleotides. RefSeq lists it as uncharacterized. The transcript has 4 exons. Lineage: Eukaryota; Metazoa; Chordata; Actinopteri; Cichliformes; Cichlidae. The record is from RefSeq and is a predicted model, not a curated record.